GAUGAAGAACGCAGCGAAAUGCGAUAAGUAAUGUGAAUUGCAGAAUUCAGUGAAUCAUCGAAUCUUUGAACGCACAUUGCGCCCCCUGGUAUUCCGGGGGGCAUGCCUGUCCGAGCGUCAUUACAACCCUCAAGCUCAGCUUGGUGUUGGGCCCCGCCGCCCCGGCGGGCCCUAAAGUCAGUGGCGGUGCCGUCCGGCUCCGAGCGUAGUAAUUCUUCUCGCUCUGGAGGUCCGGUCGUGUGCUCGCCAGCAACCCCCAAUUUUUUUCAGGUUGACCUCGGAUCAGGUAGGGAUACCCGCUGGACUUAAGCAUAUCAAUAAGCGGAGGA
This 329-nucleotide unclassified non-coding RNA is filed under the name soil metagenome. Its description in RNAcentral is "partial contains 5.8S ribosomal RNA, internal transcribed spacer 2, and large subunit ribosomal RNA". The stretch from base 1 to 120 matches the Rfam family "5.8S ribosomal RNA", at positions 35 to 154 of the family's 154-position model. The record is from RNAcentral.